RNAcentral lists this long non-coding RNA (851 nucleotides) under Vigna radiata. Its description in RNAcentral is "long non-coding RNA (VRAD_LNC002180)". Lineage: Eukaryota; Viridiplantae; Streptophyta; Magnoliopsida; Fabales; Fabaceae. The record is from RNAcentral.
UUUUUUUCUUAGUUUCAUAACUUAUUUAUUGAUUUUUCUUUAAUUAUUUUUUAAUAUUAAAGCAAUCAAAACUUAUUUCUAAAUAUUUGAUAUUGAAAUUUUAUAUUGACUAAUUGANAAUGUUAUUUUGAUAUAAUUUUUGUUUUUUUUAAAAAAACUAAUAUACUUAAUUAACAUUUGAAAUAGUAAAAACACAAGUACUGGUGUAUGUAUGGAUAUAUCUGUUUCCCAAUAGGGACGUAGAUAGAAUAAAAAUUAAAUAACUAUUGAAUGUGGGAUAUGGAUGGAGACGAGUUUAUAUAUCGAGCAAGAGAUAGUCAAAUAUCUAGUCACCGUAUUGUCAUCCCUACUAGUGAGAAUACCUAAACUAUUAUAACUAAGGAUCCUGAUAUUUUAACAAUACUUUUUAACAACUUUUUGACAACAGGACACAUAUCACUAUUUUAUUNGUCUGUUUGAAUUUACUUUUAAUAAAAUAUUUGAAACGAAACAAUCACAAGCUACCACGUAUGCAUUGUUAAAAAGUUGUCAAAAAGGAGUUGUUAAAACAAAUUUUUCCUAUAACUAAUACUUUGUUGUUAAAUUUUAAAACAAUAAUGACUUUUUUUUUCUAAUGAUAAACACCUUUCAAUCAUAUCUAGAAUAUUUUUCCCCUCCCCAAUUCAUUUUCGAAAAUCCUACCUCCCCAAUCUCUCCUACUUCACUUCUUUUUAAUCUUUCCCUCCCUUUGGGUCACAACCCCUUCCUUUGCCACAACCACCAUUGCAAUUUGGUUUACCCCAACCUCCAUUGUUUUUGAAGUCUACCAUUCCCCCAAUAUCCAUAGAUUUCUCGUCCCAAUCGUGAAUNNN